Molecule: ribosomal RNA, 468 nt
Filed under: uncultured bacterium
Lineage: Bacteria
Description: partial 16S ribosomal RNA
Rfam family: Bacterial small subunit ribosomal RNA
Source: RNAcentral
GACGAACGCUGGCGGCGUGCUUAACACAUGCAAGUCGAACGGAAAGGCCCUGCUUUUGUGGGGUGCUCGAGUGGCGAACGGGUGAGUAACACGUGAGUAACCUGCCCUUGACUUUGGGAUAACUUCAGGAAACUGGGGCUAAUACCGGAUAGGAGCUCCUGCUGCAUGGUGGGGGUGGGAAAGUUUCGGCGGUUGGGGAUGGACUCGCGGCUUAUCAGCUUGUUGGUGGGGUAGUGGCUUACCAAGGCUUUGACGGGUAGCCGGCCUGAGAGGGUGACCGGCCACAUUGGGACUGGGAUACGGCCCAGACUCCAACGGGAGGCAGCAGUGGGGAAUAUUGCACAAUGGGCGGAAGCCUGAUGCAGCAACGCCGCGUGCGGGAUGACGGCCUUCGGGUUGUAACCCGCUUUCGCCUGUGACGAAGCGUGAGUGACGGUAAUGGGUAAAGAAGCACCGGCUAACUACGUG